AACGAACGCUGGCGGCAUGCCUAACACAUGCAAGUCGAACGAGACCUUCGGGUCUAGUGGCGCACGGGUGCGUAACGCGUGGGAACCUGCCCUUAGGUUCGGAAUAACUCCCCGAAAGGGGUGCUAAUACCGGAUAAUGUCUUCGGACCAAAGAUUUAUCGCCUUUGGACGGGCCCGCGUUGGAUUAGCUAGUUGGUAGGGUAAAAGCCUACCAAGGCGACGAUCCAUAGCUGGUCUGAGAGGAUGAUCAGCCACACUGGGACUGAGACACGGCCCAGACUCCUACGGGAGGCAGCAGUGGGGAAUAUUGGACAAUGGGCGAAAGCCCGAUCCAGCAAUGCCGCGUGAGUGAUGAAGGCCUUAGGGUUGUAAAGCUCUUUUACCCGGGAUGAUAAUGACAGUACCGGGAGAAUAAGCUCCGGCUAACUCCGUG
Molecule: ribosomal RNA, 433 nt
Filed under: uncultured bacterium
Lineage: Bacteria
Description: partial 16S ribosomal RNA
Rfam family: Bacterial small subunit ribosomal RNA
Source: RNAcentral